RNAcentral lists this ribosomal RNA (776 nucleotides) under uncultured euryarchaeote. RNAcentral describes it as "bacterial SSU rRNA". It matches the Rfam family "Archaeal small subunit ribosomal RNA", at positions 505 to 1280 of the family's 1478-position model. The record is from RNAcentral. Lineage: Archaea; Methanobacteriati; Methanobacteriota.
UGGGCUUAAAGUGUCCGUAGCCGGUAAGGUAAGUUCCUGGUAAAAUCGGGCAGCUCAACUGUCCGCGUGCUAGGAAUACUGCGUUACUAGAGGGCGGGAGAGGUCUGAGGUACUGCGGGGGUAGGGGUGAAAUCUUAUAAUCCUCGCAGGACCACCAGUGGCGAAGGCGUCAGACUGGAACGCGCCUGACGGUGAGGGACGAAAGCCAGGGGAGCGAACCGGAUUAGAUACCCGGGUAGUCCUGGCUGUAAACGAUGCAUACUAGGUUAUGGUGCGGCCAUGAGCCGUAUCAGAGCCGUAGGGAAACCGUUAAGUGUGCCGCCUGGGAAGUACGGUCGCAAGGCUAAAACUUAAAGGAAUUGGCGGGGGAGCACCACAAGGGGUGAAGCCUGCGGUUCAAUUGGACUCAACGCCGGGAAACUUACCAGGGGAGACAGCAGAAUGAGGGUCAGGUUGACGACCUUACCUGACAAGCUGAGAGGAGGUGCAUGGCCGUCGCCAGUUCGUGCUGUGAGGUAUCCUGUUAAGUCAGGCAACGAACGAGACCCGCGCCUUUAUUUGCCAGCAAGAAGCUACGGCUUCGUUGGGAACACUAAAGGGACCGCCGUCGAUAAGACGGAGGAGGGAGCGGGCGAAGGCAGGUCAGUAUGCCCCGAAACCCCUGGGCUACACGCGGGCUGCAAUGGUAGGAACAAUGAGCUGUGACUCCGAGAGGAGAAACCAAUCUCGAAAUCCUAUCUCAGUGGGGAUUGUCGACUGUAACUCGUCGACAUGAA